GCCCUUAGGUGGAGGAUACCCUCGGGAAACUGAGAAUAAUACUCCAUAGAUUUAGAAUGCUGGAAUGCUUUUAAAUUGAAAGAUUUAUCGCCUAAGGAUAAGUCUGCGGACUAUCAGGUCGUAGUUAGGGUAAAUACCUGACUAGCCUACGACGGAUACGGGUUGUGAGAGCACUAGCCCGGAGAUGAUAUCUGAGACACGAUAUCAGGCCCUACGGGGCGCAGCAGGCGCGAAAACUUCGCACUGUGCGAAAGCACGACGAGGGAAUCCCAAGUGCUGGCUCGUAAGAGUCAGCUGUUUCUUUGUCUAAAAAACAGAGAGAGUAAGAGCUGGGUAAGACGGGUGCCAGCCGCCGCGGUAAUACCUGCAGCUCAAGUGGUGGCCGCUAUUAUUGGGCCUAAAACGUCCGUAGCCGGUUCUAUAAAUGCCUGGGUAAAUCGUACGGCUUAACCGUACGAAUUCCGGGUAGACUGUUCAACUUGGGACCGGGAGAGGCUAGAGGUACUCCUGGGGUAGAGGUGAAAUUCUGUAAUCCUAGGGGGACCACCAGUGGCGAAGGCGUCUAGCUAGAACGGGUCUGACGGUGAGGGACGAAGCCCUGGGGAGCAAACGGGAUUAGAUACCCCGGUAGUCCAGGGUGUAAACGCUGCUCGCUUGAUGUUAGUCGGGCUCCGAGCCCAACUAGUGUCGGAGAGAAGUUGUUAAGCGAGCUGCCUGGGAAGUACGGUCGCAAGACUGAAACUUAAAGGAUUUGGCGGGGGAGCACCGCAACGGGUGGAGCGUGCGGUUUAAUUGGAGUCAACGCCGGA
This 809-nucleotide ribosomal RNA is filed under the name uncultured archaeon. Its description in RNAcentral is "bacterial SSU rRNA". It matches the Rfam family "Archaeal small subunit ribosomal RNA", at positions 111 to 922 of the family's 1478-position model. The record is from RNAcentral.